Molecule: ribosomal RNA, 727 nt
Filed under: uncultured Staphylococcus sp.
Lineage: Bacteria; Bacillati; Bacillota; Bacilli; Caryophanales; Staphylococcaceae
Description: bacterial SSU rRNA
Rfam family: Bacterial small subunit ribosomal RNA
Source: RNAcentral
GUCGAGCGAACGGACGAGAAGCUUGCUUCUCUGAUGUUAGCGGCGGACGGGUGAGUAACACGUGGAUAACCUACCUAUAAGACUGGGAUAACUUCGGGAAACCGGAGCUAAUACCGGAUAAUAUUUUGAACCGCAUGGUUCAAAAGUGAAAGACGGUCUUGCUGUCACUUAUAGAUGGAUCCGCGCUGCAUUAGCUAGUUGGUAAGGUAACGGCUUACCAAGGCAACGAUGCAUAGCCGACCUGAGAGGGUGAUCGGCCACACUGGAACUGAGACACGGUCCAGACUCCUACGGGAGGCAGCAGUAGGGAAUCUUCCGCAAUGGGCGAAAGCCUGACGGAGCAACGCCGCGUGAGUGAUGAAGGUCUUCGGAUCGUAGAACUCUGUUAUUAGGGAAGAACAUAUGUGUAAGUAACUGUGCACAUCUUGACGGUACCUAAUCAGAAAGCCACGGCUAACUACGUGCCGGCAGCCGCGGUAAUACGUAGGUGGCAAGCGUUAUCCGGAAUUAUUGGGCGUAAAGCGCGCGUAGGCGGUUUUUUAAGUCUGAUGUGAAAGCCCACGGCUCAACCGUGGAGGGUCAUUGGAAACUGGAAAACUUGAGUGCAGAAGAGGAAAGUGGAACUCCAUGUGUAGCGGUGAAAUGCGCAGAGAUAUGGAGGAACACUAGUGGCGAAGGCGACUUUCUGGUCUGUAACUGACGCUGAUGUGCGAAAGCGUGGGGAUCA